GCGGUAGGCAGCAGCUUACGGAGGGAAUUCCAGCGGGUUCCGAAAGGAACCAUGCAGGGGUUCUUUUCUGAGGAAGUUCCGCCCACCACAAGAGCUCGAAAUGGCUUCAAGGGCCUUAGCCGGAACAGAAACGAUACCCAAAUCCGGAAUGCGAUGAGGGAAACCGAGCGAAGGAGGCGGGGUGAAACGCGCCGGCGAAAGAGCGGUGUGCGUGGUGCAAGGCCGUUAGGCCGCUUAGUCAAAUGCUGCAAGUACUGAAGGCGGACUAUUGCCUAUCGC
RNAcentral lists this unclassified non-coding RNA (279 nucleotides) under Candidatus Burarchaeum australiense. RNAcentral describes it as "RNaseP_arch". Lineage: Archaea; Nanobdellati; Microcaldota; Candidatus Micrarchaeia; Candidatus Burarchaeales; Candidatus Burarchaeaceae. The record is from RNAcentral.